AGUGAACGCUGGCGGUAGGCCUAACACAUGCAAGUCGAACGGCAGCACAGUAAGAGCUUGCUCUUACGGGUGGCGAGUGGCGGACGGGUGAGGAAUACAUCGGAAUCUACUUUUUCGUGGGGGAUAACGUAGGGAAACUUACGAUAAUACCGCAUACGACCUACGGGUGAAAGCAGGGGAUCUUCGGACCUUUCGCGAUUGAAUGAGCCGAUGUCGGAUUAGCUAGUUGGCGGGGUAAAGGCCCACCAAGGCGACGAUCCGUAGCUGGUCUGAGAGGAUGAUCAGCCACACUGGAACUGAGACACGGUCCAGACUCCUACGGGAGGCAGCAGUGGGGAAUAUUGGACAAUGGGCGCAAGCCUGAUCCAGCCAUACCGCGUGGGUGAAGAAGGCCUUCGGGUUGUAAAGCCCUUUUGUUGGGAAAGAAAAGCAGCAGGUUAAUACCCCGCUGUUCUGACGGUACCCAAAGAAUAAGCACCGGCUAACUUCGUG
This 492-nucleotide ribosomal RNA is filed under the name uncultured bacterium. RNAcentral describes it as "partial 16S ribosomal RNA". It matches the Rfam family "Bacterial small subunit ribosomal RNA", at positions 29 to 507 of the family's 1533-position model. The record is from RNAcentral.